This 72-nucleotide transfer RNA is filed under the name Camelus bactrianus (Bactrian camel). It matches the Rfam family "tRNA". From Rfam's summary of the family: Transfer RNA (tRNA) molecules are approximately 80 nucleotides in length. Lineage: Eukaryota; Metazoa; Chordata; Mammalia; Artiodactyla; Camelidae. RNAcentral also lists the same sequence under 2 other names. The record is from Rfam by way of RNAcentral.
GGAGGUCUAGCUCAGUGGUAGAGUGUGUGCUUAGCAUGCACGAGGUCCUGGGUUCAAUCUUCAGUACUGCCA